RNAcentral lists this ribosomal RNA (466 nucleotides) under uncultured bacterium. Its description in RNAcentral is "bacterial SSU rRNA". It matches the Rfam family "Bacterial small subunit ribosomal RNA", at positions 355 to 817 of the family's 1533-position model. The record is from RNAcentral.
UGAGGAAUAUUGCGCAAUGGGGGAAACCCUGACGCAGCGACGCCGCGUGGAUGAUGAAGGCCUUCGGGUCGUAAAAUCCUGUCAGAUGGGAAGAAGUGUAUAUUACCUAAUACGUGAUAUAUUUGACGGUACCAUCAAAGGAAGCACCGGCUAACUCCGUGCCAGCAGCCGCGGUAAUACGGAGGGUGCAAGCGUUGUUCGGAAUUACUGGGCGUAAAGCGCGCGUAGGCGGCUUGUUAAGUCAGAUGUGAAAGUCCACGGCUCAACCGUGGAAGUGCAUAUGAAACUGGCAGGCUUGAGUAUUGGAGGGGGUAGUGGAAUUCCCGGUGUAGAGGUGAAAUUCGUAGAUAUCGGGAGGAAUACCGGUGGCGAAGGCGACUACCUGGCCAAAUACUGACGCUAGGUGCGAAAGCGGAAAGCAAACAGGAUUAAUACCCUGGUAUCCACGCCGUAAACGAUGUAAACU